Molecule: transfer RNA, 76 nt
Filed under: Dehalococcoidia bacterium
Lineage: Bacteria; Bacillati; Chloroflexota; Dehalococcoidia
Description: tRNA-Asp
Rfam family: tRNA
About the family: Transfer RNA (tRNA) molecules are approximately 80 nucleotides in length. Their secondary structure includes four short double-helical elements and three loops (D, anti-codon, and T loops).
Source: RNAcentral
GGCCCGGUGGUGUAGCGGUUAACAUGCUAGCCUGUCAAGCUAGAGAUCGGGGGUUCGAAUCCCCUCCGGGUCGCCA